GCUGUGAAUAACGCCGCAGUGAACAUCGGGGCGCAAAUCAUCUUUUCACGUUGGCGCUGCGUUUCCGUCAACUGCGCAGAAACGGAGCCGGAGCAUGUUUUCUGAGUGUGCUGACCACUCGCUCCCGCACCCAGAUCUGUCAGCGUCCUUCUGGUCUAAGCCCUGGGCUUGGAGCAGUUUUAGGCCCCGUGGAACUUGGGGUUCGGGUUUCUGAAAGGAUGAAGAGCCAUGGCCUGAAAUCUUGGGGUGUCUCAGAGUUUUCCGAGACCUGUGCAGGUGACAGCUGCUGUCCUUUCUGCUCUAAGCUGGCCUUGGGAGCCGCAACCAGGAGGGCCACACCUGGAGCUGAGCCAGCGGGACAAGCCGCCAGGACACCGGGUGGGGUGUGAUGCGGCCCGGCAGUGUGGUUGAAUGACAGCGGUCAGGGCGAAUGCUCACCAAGGGCCGUUUCACAUCUGCCUCCGCAGUCCCGACGUUCCCUCUUCUGACGGGUGGAGGACGGGGUGACGGCAGGUGACCGGGCCGGGAGGGGACAGCCAGGACCAGCAGGAUGACGGACGUCUGCUCCAUCCUCGGCCGCGCUGCCUGUGGGAGGCGGGGGCUGCGGCCAGUCCCCCCCCCUCCCUCCAGGUUUUCGCCGAUGGCGCCAGCAGACGUCGCCCCUUCCUUCCUCGGCGGGCACAUUGCAGCCGAUAACGCAGCCCGAGAGACCAGGGCCGCACUGCAAACACGGAUCGGCAUCGGGAGAGGCCCCGGCUUUGAGGACGGGCAGGACGGCUGAGACGAGUGGGGCGUGCGGUCAGAACCCAGAGGUAGCGUGAGUCACGGCAGCGGGCGACGGUGCCUCAACGCGGAGAAGCAGCCGGUGGAGGGGGGCAUGUCGGUGGGAGACGAGGUGACAAGAAGGGCUGGGGGGAGGUCAAGGUGAGGUCAGGGCCAGGGCAGCCCCACCCCUGCUCGCUCACUGACCUCAGCAGGUUACUUCUCCUGGGAAGCGCCAUUCAAAGUGCUAUUUAGAGGGCUAAAUCAUUGAUUAUAUGCAAAACAUACAUUUUGUGAACUUCAAAGCACUUAAUAAACACAAGGUAUAAGUCUUUUAAGUCUAGGAA
This 1109-nucleotide long non-coding RNA is filed under the name Sus scrofa (pig). RNAcentral's name for it is "lncRNA (ENSSSCG00055008688.1)". The record is from RNAcentral. Lineage: Eukaryota; Metazoa; Chordata; Mammalia; Artiodactyla; Suidae.